Taeniopygia guttata (zebra finch) is the source of this 5870-nucleotide non-coding RNA. Lineage: Eukaryota; Metazoa; Chordata; Aves; Passeriformes; Estrildidae. The record is from RefSeq and is a predicted model, not a curated record.
CCCGGCGCUGCCAGGAGGGGAGGAGGGAGCGAGGGGAGGGACGGAGGGAGCGGGGGCCGGCCGGCGGGCGGGGCGGGCCCCGUGGGGCGGCCCCAAGUGGAGAGCGGAGCCCGGCAGACCCCGCGGGCUGCGCCGGGCCUGGGGGAGUGCAGUGCGGAGCUCCUCCCGCUCCCCCGCCUCGGCGGCUCCUCCGGCCGCAGCGGGUGCGGGAAAAGCGCCGCUCCCGGCCGGGCUCAGCUGGGGGCAGGGCCGAGGAAUGCCCCGGGGGCGGCGAUAACGCGCCGCUGUUGUGUUUUCCUUCUUCGGACGGAAGUUAAAGGAAGGAGCCCCAGGAAGGCGAGAGGAGGUCACGAUCGAGGCAUCAGAUCCUUCUCGUGGCUGUACCCAGCACCUUCGGGACUCGGCGUGCAGGGGUGAACCAGAGAAAGGUGACGUUUUUUACCCCAAACCUCGAAAACCCAGCUCCUUCCCGCUCUCCUUCCAGGUACAAGAAGCGAUUCUCCCACAGCUGGAACAGAACCGCUCAGCUCAGACGCACUGGAGUCAAAACCUACAGGGAAGGUGGAACGUGUGUAGUUGAUGGCAGAGAAAGCCAUCAUUACAGAAGACACACGUGGCUGCCACAGAUUACACAUGAUGAAUCUUUACAUCUUUUCACCAUGUAGAAGCCUCCUGGCUUCAAGAGGAGCACAUAAAUACAGUCUCAAAGAUAGAAAGUCCUCAGGGAACAAAACUAGAAUUAUGGCCAGAGUAUGUAACUCAGCUUUCAGCAGUUUCACAACUUAGAGCAAUGAAGAUUUCACUAAGCUCAAGUGCACUGCAAUUCAAGCUGAUGGAGUCCCUUUAAAGGUAAGUGUACUUAUGUAUACAUUCAGCAUAUUUUGAUCUGGGCCCAGACAUCUUUUCUGUGUCUAAAGAUUAUGAACCAAACCAGAACCAUCUGCAUGUAAGGCUUUACCCUCCACUGACCUGCACAUGUACCCCCCUUGUAGUACUCCAGUACAAGACACAUCUCCCACCAUCUCUGAGUACUUGGAGUCAAAGUCUCCUAAAAGUGCACUUCAGAUAACAAGAAUAACUGAACAUUGUUAAUGAAAAACCUCUUACAGAUUUAUGUAUAAUACAUUUACUCAACAUGCAUCUGCCAUGCACAAUUCCUGCUGAUAAAGGAUUAUCAGAGUUCUUGCAUGGACUGACUCGCUGGAAGCAAUUCCAUUCCAGCCACUAAGACUUCAUCAUGUCUGGGAUGUGACAGAAAAGCCCUGGUGACACUGAACAGAUUCUUCUCCUGAAUCACUGCACAAAUAACCUCCUCAGUCCUACCCAUUAACUGACCAUGACCCAUAACCUUUAUCUACCAAUAUGGAAGAGCCAGUUCCCACUCCGAAUGAAAUUUCAUGUAGUAAUUUUUCAGCUGAAAACCAAACUAUGGGAAAAUGCCUUUCCUUUGAGAACAGCAGAACAAGAGUAGGGAUUGUUGCAGCCUCAAAAUGAAUUUCCUUCCCUGGGGCAAAGAGCUAGGCUGGUAAUUAAUUACAUUUUCUCUAAGAGUCAGACAAAAGAUGAUAAGAAGCAGUGCUUUCAUAACUGAAGGGAAGGACAAGAGAUUGUGGUUCGUGAUAUUUCUGUCCUCCUAUACAGCCUCAUCACAUCAAGAAAAACAAAGGCAAACCCCAGCAAUAUUCAGGCUGCUACAGCCAAUUCCACAGUUACAGACCAUGUUAUCCUCUCUUGCACUUUACAAUUAGUUUGCCAGUAUUAGUCUCUUUGUAUAACACUACCAAAUGCCCUGGGGCAAAAUAAGUGUUUUUUCAUAUGACUUCCAGAAUACCAUUACAAUAAAUAUAUCUUUAUUCUGGACCAUCUUUUACUUGAAUAAUCAUCAUAAGCAUUAUGAUGAUUAUUCAAGUAAACUUAGUAAAUAUGUAACUUUCAAUUUUGCUUAAAGCUUUAUCAAGGAGCUCACCUCUGUCUCCUAGGGGCUCUAGAUUAUUGCAUAAUUACUAGUGAUAGUAUUUGCAAGAACAAGGAUAUUGAUAAUUAAAAGCAUAGCCAACAGGACUCCAAGGAGUUAUUGGCAGAACUCAUUCUAUUAAUGCAUAAAAGAAAAAUAGCUUAAUGGCAUAAUUUCUAACCUUGAGCCAUUUAGAAUGUUUAUAUAAUACUUGUUUGCAGACUAAUCCAGCAGCAAUUAUUUGCACUUCCUUCUACCCCAGAGCAAUGGGGAAAAGAUCAGAGUUUGAACUUUCACAGGUAUUUUCAAAUGCAGUCAAACUACGGUUAUGGAUUUUGUAUGUCUUUUAAUUCUCUUUUAGGAAAUACAGAACUAUUUUCCAGGGUGAUAACACUGAGAAACACACUCAGACUUUUGAAAGCCAUACUAGCAUUUUGAAACAUUGAAAAACUUUCUUUUCAUCCAGAUAGAGUCUGAGUAAAGGAUAUUGUAGCGAGAACACUGUAGGGGUCCAAAUUACUUUAAUGUGCAAUGAAUUCAAGUGGAAAAAAAUGUUCUUGACAGUGUUUUCUGAGACAUUCAGCACAUUAAGAACAACAUUUAUGAAUUAACAAUCCACAACCUGAACUGGAAGCACAGGGAAUCUGACUUAUGUGGACACGGUGUGAGCACUAACCUGAAAAUCCAGAAUGUCAAUAUCCAUCUCUUCAAACAGUUCAGCUAUAAAAGGGUUUUUCCCACCAUUGUCUUCAUGUAAGGCAUUUACUUUCUCUUAAGUCUGAAGCCACUUGAAGAGAGAAUGACUCAGAGAUGUGAUAUUACAAAAUACCUGAGAUGAAACAGGAAGGACUCUGAGGUGGCAGCGGCUGGGCAGUGGAUGUGCCCAGAAUGGUGACAGUGCUGACCAUUAAGAAACAAUUCUCAGUGAUGAUGGGGUGAAGAUGACCUGUAGUCAUGUUCAGAAAUUAAAUUACAGCAGAACACACAGUCCUGUACCUCCAAAGUUCUGCAGACCUAAGCACUCAAGGAGUUUAAUGGUGCCAUACUAUUGACUUCUGGGUCUCCAAGAGUACAUGAAUGCUUUCAUGGCCACUCCCAGGACUCCAUGUUAACACUGACCUUCAUAGUCAAUGUUAACACUUAAACAGAGGUCCCAUCUUUUGAUGCUAAUGCUACUAGAGAAAACUAGAAAUCUUGGCAGAGAGAGCCAAAAGUAAUUAAUUAAAGGAAUUUGUUCUCCUGUUCUUCAGUCAAACUUUUAAAAAAUCUAAACAAAUUGAAGAAUCGUCUUUAUGGAAUCUUACAGAACAAUGCCCAGAGCAGGAUCUAGCUGCUGUACAAAAUAAUUUCAUAUAAAGUAUUUGAGUAUUUACUAGCUUACUGAAACAUGUAAUACUAAAUUUCAAACAACAUUCAUACAAAAACCAUAUAACCAUUAUUUACUUAGUUAGGAGUUCUGUUUUACCACCCUGUCACAGCAGCAAGGCAGUCAUUUCUUCUGUUAACUCCUGCCGAGAGCCAAAAAUCUCAUCUCUGUUUACAGUAGGUCCAAUUUUUGGUACUUGUUAUAGUAUCUGGGAGAAAAAAAAGUGAUAAAUAACUAUCAAUAAAGUGGUACAUUCUCACAAGUAAAAGAAAGCUCAAUGAUCUGACCAGCUGUUCAGAUGUUCACUAGAUAUAUCCAAUGCUAGCAUUUCUGUGGAAGAAUCUGGAUUUUGCAGGUCUCAUUUACCAGUGAGGAGAGGACCAUAAUGUUGAGUAUAUGUACAUUUCUAAUGAAAACCAGCAUCAUCUGAAAGACUCCUUGAGCAGAGAAUAAAACAGCCAGCAUAAAUCACCCACCAUAGUGGGGUCUGAUUCCUGAUACCAGGAUCCUCUAGAAAAGGAGUAAGAAAACCAAACUUUUGCUCUGACAACACUACUUGCUGAUUUGUGAUUCACUUGCCCACCAAGUACAACCUGUCUUCUGUACUACCACAAUUUGCCUGGGCACAAGACCUAGCACAAUCCCAGUUCUUUGAUCUGCACAGAAGCGUCAGAUGAGUGUCAUUAAUUAAUACAUACACACACACUUACAAGCACUUCCCUGCAUUCUAGAUACUGCAUGUAACUGGUAAUAAAGUAGAAAGACAUUUAGACCUAACAGACAGCAAAUGAAAAUUUUUGUGUAUUCAGUAUUUUUGAAAGCUGCCACAUUUAUGCAGUAUCUCUGUAUUGAAUUAAAACAGAGUAAGUGACACACAACUUGCAGGAAACUUGUAGAAGAACUACUUUAAACUUUGGAACACACGUGCCAUCCAGUGGUACACCAAGAAACUUCAUGAGAGAUGGGAAAGGGAGAGGCUUUUACCUCUGUGUUAAGUGAUGAGACAGUUUUGUUCACAGUUCUUAUUUUUGUUCAACAAAAAACAAGGAAGUGAAUAAAGGAGUUUUCCCUAUGUUAAGGGUUUCAGGAGAAAAGAACAGAAACCUUAUGAGAAACUGGUAAUUUUUGAAGAAAAAUAUUACUGAUAACUGGAACUACUUUAGUGGAGGGGUGGUGGUGAAUACCAAAGUUUAACUCACGCUUACUCACCCUAGAAAUAAAGCACAGAAUUAUAUUAAAGUCUUAAUUCUGAAGUAGCCUAUGACUGUAUUAAUUCCUAUGCUAAAGAUACUUGGAGGAGAAAAUGCUAGUGCUAUUUUAUUACAGUACUGUUGCACAAGAACACUAUUAAGCCAGAGAGUUGAAGUUCUCUGCAUUUUUUACUCUUUUUAGCCUUGUGAUUUUUCCAAAUAUUCACACUUUAAGAAAAAGCCCAACAACCUUUAAACACUCAACUAACAGUUAGCAUCUGCACAGUGUAUCUACACUAUAUAUACAGGAAUACAGAACCAGGUGUACACCCCUUUACCGUUAGGCACUCCUUUGGGACGGCGGAACUUCUUAGAUCGGACUGGAACUUGCUGGAGCCGGGAAGGCCUCGGGUCUGGUGACAGUCUAACGAUGGAGCAGAUUUCUCGUCUGUCACACUGAGGCUGAAAAGAUUCAUGAGAUCUUAUUCACACAACCACUCCCAAUGAAGAAAUGUUCUUUUAGCUUUCUUCCAGAGAAAUUAGAGAUUACACGCAGAUUUCAAGGCAUGUCACUAGAAAACAUUUAAGGCUACUUGUGUACAUUCAAUAUACUAUUGGAAAGGGUGAUAGAAAGCUUCAAAGCUUUAAACAUUCUCUUUAGCAGUUUUGAUACUCUAAGGACUAAAUAUACAGUACAGUAGAAAUUAGCAUGACAAAACUGGAUUUAAAAAAUGCAAUAAAAUCAGAACCUUUAAAAUAUUCUUUUCUUCUGGACUCUGAGGAAUAAUUUCGUUUUCUGAGCUCAGAGAUGCAGGAACAAUUUCUUCUGAGUUUACAAAUGGACCUUUGGUAUUCAGGAACAGGUCUUCCCCAGGUGAGGCUUUACACACUGGCGACAAGCUAAGCUACAGUUCCAUCAAAAUACAAAAUAUAUAGGUAUACCUGCCCAGUUAAAUAACAGACAACUCAGAUUGGCUAAUGCUUGUUGGCUCAUGCAAAAGAUAUUCUGUUGCUUAAAAAAAACUAUUUAGGGAUUCACCAAGGCACUGAUGUUCUCUAUUUAUUAAUCUAGUAUGCACUAGCUCAAGUGCGAAGAGACAAGUGGCAGCACUGUACUACCUGUACAGCCAAAGAAUUCAAACAUUUAAAUAUCAAUUUUGAAUCAAAGAGUUUAUGCAAGUACAGAUCCUAGUACUGGUUUUACAUUACAUUUGUAAAAAUACAAAACAAAUUCCUAGAUUGGAUUUUUGAGUUUUUUAAUUAUCCAGAAUUUAUUCAUUUGUUCUGCAAUUUGCAGUGUAACAUAUAUAGGCAGAAAUGGAAUGUGCCACAAGGAAUGAUUUCUUUGGUUUUAAUAAUU